AAUGAACGCUGGCGGCAGGCCUAAAACAUGCAAGUCGAACGCUGUAGCAAUACAGAGUGGCGCACGGGUGAGUAACAUGUGGGAAUAUGCCUUUUGGUACGGAACAACGUUUGGAAACGAACGCUAAUACCGUAUGGUCCCUUCGGGGUAAAGAUUUAUCGCCAAAAGAUUAGCCCGCACUAGAUUAGCUAGUUGGUAAGGUAAUGGCUUACCAAGGCGACGAUCUAUAGCUGGUCUGAGAGGACGAUCAGCCACACUGGGACUGAGACACGGCCCAGACUCCUACGGGAGGCAGCAGUUAGGAAUAUUGGACAAUGGGCGCAAGCCUGAUCCAGCCAUGCCGCGUGAGUGAUGAGGGCCUU
RNAcentral lists this ribosomal RNA (362 nucleotides) under uncultured bacterium. RNAcentral's name for it is "bacterial SSU rRNA". It matches the Rfam family "Bacterial small subunit ribosomal RNA", at positions 29 to 418 of the family's 1533-position model. The record is from RNAcentral.